UACCUGCGCCACGAGUGGUAACCGCGCUUAUUGGGCUUAAAGCGUUCGUAGCCGGCUUGGAAAGUUUCUAAUGAAAUCCUGCAGCUGACUGUAGGGCUUGUUAGAAAUACUUCCAGGCUUGGGACCGGGAGAGGUCGAGGGUAUUAUUGGGGUAGGGGUAAAAUAGUUUGAAGGCUUAUUCUGCGUGAACAAAGCCUUCUUUCACUUUACAGUCCUAUAAUCCCAAUAAGACCACCUGUGGCGAA
Molecule: ribosomal RNA, 245 nt
Filed under: uncultured archaeon
Lineage: Archaea
Description: partial 16S ribosomal RNA
Rfam family: Archaeal small subunit ribosomal RNA
Source: RNAcentral